This is a non-coding RNA of Malus domestica (apple), 542 nucleotides long. NCBI's taxonomy places the organism in Eukaryota, Viridiplantae, Streptophyta, Magnoliopsida, Rosales, Rosaceae. The record is from RefSeq and is a predicted model, not a curated record.
UUCUACUCAAACUACUCAAAUUUCCAACAAUACCCUACAUUUGAGUUGAAAUUUCAUUCAAACUCCAACAGAAAUCACAGAAUUCUCCGGCACCUACGAAAAGAAUGAAGUUGGAGGCUGGCUAUGUACGCAAGGUGCACUCGAACAUUUUUUCAUUUGAUAGUUUUUGCAUCUCUUAUCUGUUUGAUCUUUGUUGAAUCGCGUACUUUAUUAUGAUCGAUAUGAGGUUGUUACACUCAAGUUGAAUAGCGUAUUUAAACCACCCAGUUGUGAUUAACGAGGUUCAAUAGUUUAUGAAUCUUUCAUAAGAAUUUCUGAAGGGCUCUUUAUACAUUUGUGAAGCAGGUUGCUGAAAAACUCAAGCAUCAACCUCUCUGGUUACACAAGGUGUCGAAAAUGGUCGGAGCUGAUGCUGCCAGACCUAAAGUUACCGUUCCGAAGGAACCAAAUUUGGAAACAGCAAAUAGAGCACAAAGACGUAUAAGGUUAAUGCCAAACCAGGAGAAGAAUCAAAAGCAAGUUCAUACUCCUUUUAAUGCUCG